This 500-nucleotide ribosomal RNA is filed under the name uncultured bacterium. Its description in RNAcentral is "partial 16S ribosomal RNA". It matches the Rfam family "Bacterial small subunit ribosomal RNA", at positions 30 to 523 of the family's 1533-position model. The record is from RNAcentral.
AUUGAACGCUGGCGGAAUGCUUUACACAUGCAAGUCGAACGGCAGCACGGACUUCGGUCUGGUGGCGAGUGGCGAACGGGUGAGUAAUGUAUCGGAACGUGCCCAGUCGUGGGGGAUAACGUAGUGAAAAUUACGCUAAUACCGCAUACGAUCUAUGGAUGAAAGCGGGGGAUCGCAAGACCUCGCGCGAUUGGGGCGGCCGAUAUCAGAUUAGGUAGUUGGUGGGGUAAAGGCCCACCAAGCCAACGAUCUGUAGCUGGUCUGAGAGGACGACCAGCCACACUGGAACUGAGACACGGUCCAGACUCCUACGGGAGGCAGCAGUGGGGAAGUUUGGACAAUGGGCGAAAGCCUGAUCCAGCCAUUCCGCGUGCAGGAUGAAGGCCCUCGGGUUGUAAACUGCUUUUGUACAGAACGGAAAGGUUUCUACUAAUACUAGGAGCUCAUGACGGUACUGUAAGAAUAAGCACCGGCUAACUACGUGCCAGCCGCCGCCGUAA